RNAcentral lists this ribosomal RNA (422 nucleotides) under uncultured archaeon. Its description in RNAcentral is "partial 16S ribosomal RNA". It matches the Rfam family "Archaeal small subunit ribosomal RNA", at positions 323 to 746 of the family's 1478-position model. The record is from RNAcentral.
CUACGGGAGGCAGCAGGCGCGAAACCUCUUCAAUGCACGACAGUGUGAAAGGGGGAUCCUACGUGCUUAUGCUCAGCAUAGGCUUUUGCAUAGUGUAAAUAACUAUGCGAAUAAGGGGUGGGAAAGACCGGUGCCAGCAGCCGCGGUAACACCGGCGCCCCAAGUGGCAAUCAGAUUUAUUGGGCCUAAAGCGUUCGUAGCCUGAUUGAUAAAUUUCUUGUGAAAUUACUCGGCUUAACCGAGUAGCGUGCAGGAAAGACUGUCUAUCUAGGGACCGGGAGGAGUUUGGAGUAUUCUGAGGGGAGCGGUAAAAUGUAAUAAUCCUUGGAAGACUACCUGUGGCGAAGGCGCCAAACUAGAACGGAUCCGACGGUGAGGGACGAAGGCUAGGGGAGCAAACCGGAUUAGAUACCCUUGUAGUC